Molecule: ribosomal RNA, 251 nt
Filed under: Aliivibrio finisterrensis
Lineage: Bacteria; Pseudomonadati; Pseudomonadota; Gammaproteobacteria; Vibrionales; Vibrionaceae
Description: partial 16S ribosomal RNA
Rfam family: Bacterial small subunit ribosomal RNA
Source: RNAcentral
UUAAUUGAAGAGUUUGAUCAUGGCUCAGAUUGAACGCUGGCGGCAGGCCUAACACAUGCAAGUCGAGCGGUAACAGAAAUUAGCUUGCUAAUUUGCUGACGAGCGGCGGACGGGUGAGUAAUGCCUGGGAAUAUGCCUUAGUGUGGGGGAUAACUAUUGGAAACGAUAGCUAAUACCGCAUAAUGUCUUCGGACCAAAGAGGGGGACCUUCGGGCCUCUCGCGCUAAGAUUAGCCCAGGUGAGAUUAGCUA